GACGAACGCUGGCGGCGUGCCUAAUACAUGCAAGUUGAACGCUGAAGACUGGUACUUGUACUAGUUGGAUGAGUAGCGAACGGGUGAGUAACGCGUGGGUAACCUACCUCUUAGCGGGGGACAACUAUUGGAAACGAUAGCUAAUACCGCAUAACAAUCACUAACACAUGUUAGUGAUUUGAAAGCACUAAUUGGUGCACUAAGAGAUGGACCCGCGUUGUAUUAGCUAGUUGGUAGUGUAAUGGACUACCAAGGCGAUGAUACAUAGCCGACCUGAGAGGGUGAUCGGCCACAUUGGGACUGAGACACGGCCCAAACUCCUACGGGAGGCAGCAGUAGGGAAUCUUCGGCAAUGGACGCAAGUCUGACCGAGCAACGCCGCGUGAGUGAAGAAGGUUUUCGGAUCGUAAAACUCUGUUGUUAGAGAAGAACGUCAGUGAGAGUGGAAAGUUCACUGAGUGACGGUAUCUAACCAGAAAGGGACGGCUAACUACGUGCCAGCAGCCGCGGUAAUAUGUAGGUCCCGAGCGUUGUCCGGAUUUAUUGGGCGUAAAGCGAGCGCAGGUGGUUUAAUAAGUCUGAUGUAAAAGGCAGUGGCUCAACCAUUGUGU
Molecule: ribosomal RNA, 611 nt
Filed under: uncultured bacterium
Lineage: Bacteria
Description: bacterial SSU rRNA
Rfam family: Bacterial small subunit ribosomal RNA
Source: RNAcentral